AUUGAACGCUGGCGGAAUGCUUUACACAUGCAAGUCGAACGGUAGAGGGGGCAACCCCUCGAGAGUGGCGAACGGGUGAGUAAUAUAUCGGAACGUGCCCGGUCGUGGGGGAUAACGUAGCGAAAGUUACGCUAAUACCGCAUACGAUCUAAGGAUGAAAGCGGGGGAUCGCAAGACCUCGCGCGAUUGGAGCGGCCGAUAUCAGAUUAGGUAGUUGGUGGGGUAAAGGCUCACCAAGCCAACGAUCUGUAGCUGGUCUGAGAGGACGACCAGCCACACUGGAACUGAGACACGGUCCAGACUCCUACGGGAGGCAGCAGUGGGGAAUUUUGGACAAUGGACGCAAGUCUGAUCCAGCCAUUCCGCGUGCAGGAUGAAGGCCCUCGGGUUGUAAACUGCUUUUGUACGGAACGAAAAGGUCUCUCUUAAUACGGGGGACUCAUGACGGUACCGUAAGAAUAAGCACCGGCUAACUACGUGCCAGCCGCCGCCGCAG
This 496-nucleotide ribosomal RNA is filed under the name uncultured bacterium. RNAcentral describes it as "partial 16S ribosomal RNA". It matches the Rfam family "Bacterial small subunit ribosomal RNA", at positions 30 to 523 of the family's 1533-position model. The record is from RNAcentral.